CCUUUUCUUUGCCCCAAUUUCCUAGCCAAAAGCACCACAUUUUUUUACACCAACUCUCUCCUCUCCUCCAAUUUCUCCCUGCUUGAAGUUUGCUUACUGAAGAGACACCAAAAAUGGCUGAUUUUGGGAACAAUCUCAUCAAAAAUAUAAUACGAACUCUUAUUAUGGCUCCAGUCUAUACUACAGCAGGUUACAUUGCAUACAGAACUGGACGCUGGUUUUAUAAUCAUGAAAUGAGGAGGCUCGCUAUAGUGAGUGCUAACGAGACGGGAUGGCUGGGAAGAUCAAAGAACAACGAUCAACCAUCCAAACCACGCCCUUUCUGGAUGUGGUGAUUCCUUGUUUUUGACAAUAUAAUGCAAGUGUGAUAUUUUUCUUCAACAAUAAUUUGGAAUUACUACAUCCUUCAUCCAAGUUUUCGUUAUCCAAUUACAUCAAUGUGUCUAAUAUUUUCCUCGUA
Nicotiana tabacum (common tobacco) is the source of this 460-nucleotide long non-coding RNA. RefSeq lists it as uncharacterized. The record is from RefSeq and is a predicted model, not a curated record. NCBI's taxonomy places the organism in Eukaryota, Viridiplantae, Streptophyta, Magnoliopsida, Solanales, Solanaceae.